UUACCGAGUUAUCGCUCCAAACCCAUUGUGAACCUUACCUACUGUUCUGUUGCCUCGGCGGGGGGACCUGCGGGAACCGCCCUAGCGGGCGCCCCUGGCCACCCUCCGCCGGCAGCACCAAACUCCUGAAUUUAUAGCGGACAAACGUUUCUGAAUGAUAAAAAAAAUGAGUUAAAACUUUCAACAACGGAUCUCUUGGUUCUGGCAUCGAUGAAGAACGCAGCGAAAUGCGAUAAGUAAUGUGAAUUGCAGAAUUCAGUGAACCAUCGAAUCUUUGAACGCACAUUGCGCCCGGCAGUAAUCUGCCGGGCAUGCCUGUCCGAGCGUCAUUUCAACCCUCGAGCCUAGUCUUCUCGGCUCGGCGUUGGGGCGCUACGGGUCAUUUUACAUGCCCCGUAGGCCCCGAAAUACAGUGGCGGUCCCGCCGCGGCGCCCCCUGCGUAGUAGUGUCUUUACAGAACUCGCAUUGGGUCCCGGCGGAGGCUUGCCAGUCAAACCCCACUAUCACAAGAUGGU
RNAcentral lists this ribosomal RNA (516 nucleotides) under Mucoromycotina sp. BEA-2010. Its description in RNAcentral is "eukaryotic LSU rRNA". The stretch from base 176 to 329 matches the Rfam family "5.8S ribosomal RNA". The record is from RNAcentral. Lineage: Eukaryota; Fungi; Mucoromycota.